RNAcentral lists this ribosomal RNA (635 nucleotides) under uncultured Russula. RNAcentral's name for it is "eukaryotic LSU rRNA". The stretch from base 186 to 339 matches the Rfam family "5.8S ribosomal RNA". The record is from RNAcentral. Lineage: Eukaryota; Fungi; Basidiomycota; Agaricomycetes; Russulales; Russulaceae.
CCGAGGCGUGAGGGCUGUCGCUGGCCUUUGAAAGGUUGUGCACGCCCGAGCGCUCUCACACAAUCCAUCUCACCCCCCUUGUGCAUCACCGCGUUGGGUCCUCCUUUCCCGGGGGGGCUCGCGUUUUCACACAAAACUCGAUACAGUCUAGAACGUUUGUUCAUGCGGUCACACGCAAUCAAUACAACUUUCAACAACGGAUCUCUUGGCUCUCGCAUCGAUGAAGAACGCAGCGAAAUGCGAUACGUAAUGUGAAUUGCAGAAUUCAGUGAAUCAUCGAAUCUUUGAACGCACCUUGCGCCCCUUGGCAUUCCGAGGGGCACACCCGUUUGAGUGUCGUGAAAUUCUCAAAACCCUUUUCUUUGACCGGAAGAGGACUUUUGGACUUGGAGGUUCCAUGCUCGCUUUCGCCUUUGUGAAAAGCGAGCUCCUCCCAAAUGAAUUAGUGGGGUCCGCUUUGUCGAUCCUCGACGUGAUAAGAUGUUUCUACGUUUUGGAUUUGGCACUGUCUUUCGGAAGCCCGCUCCUAAUCGUCCCACGGACAAAUGUUGGUGUUCCGGUCCGCCGCCGAAUUUUGCUUUUGGUGGCGGGCUUGACCCACGACAAAAACCUUGACCUCAAAUCGGGUGAGACUA